Molecule: ribosomal RNA, 210 nt
Filed under: uncultured bacterium
Lineage: Bacteria
Description: partial 16S ribosomal RNA
Rfam family: Bacterial small subunit ribosomal RNA
Source: RNAcentral
UACAGAGGUCUCAAGCGUUGUUCGGAUUCAUUGGGCGUAAAGGGUGCGUAGGCGGCGCGGUAAGUCGGGUGUGAAAUCUCGGAGCUUAACUCCGAAACUGCAUUCGAUACUGCCGUGCUUGAGGACUGGAGAGGAGACGUGGAAUUUACGGUGUAGCGGUGAAAUGCGUAGAUAUCGUAAGGAAGACCAGUGGCGAAGGCGGGUCUCUGG